This 58-nucleotide transfer RNA is filed under the name Galathealinum brachiosum. Its description in RNAcentral is "tRNA-Arg". Lineage: Eukaryota; Metazoa; Annelida; Polychaeta; Sabellida; Siboglinidae. The record is from RNAcentral.
AAACAAAAUACAUUAGUAAUAUGAUUUCGGCUCAUAACCAGACGAAAGUCUUUGUUUU